RNAcentral lists this ribosomal RNA (993 nucleotides) under Bacteroides uniformis. RNAcentral's name for it is "partial 23S ribosomal RNA". It matches the Rfam family "Bacterial large subunit ribosomal RNA", at positions 1934 to 2925 of the family's 2925-position model. Lineage: Bacteria; Pseudomonadati; Bacteroidota; Bacteroidia; Bacteroidales; Bacteroidaceae. The record is from RNAcentral.
CCGUAACUAUAACGGUCCUAAGGUAGCGAAAUUCCUUGUCGGGUAAGUUCCGACCCGCACGAAAGGCGUAACGAUCUGGGCACUGUCUCAACGAGAGACUCGGUGAAAUUAUAGUACCUGUGAAGAUGCAGGUUACCCGCGACAGGACGGAAAGACCCCGUGGAGCUUUACUGUAGCUUGAUAUUGAGCACUGGUGACACAUGUACAGGAUAGGUAGGAGACGAAGAAGCCAGGACGCCAGUCUUGGUGGAGUCGCUGUUGGGAUACUACCCUUGUGUUACUGGGGUUCUAACCCGUGGCCAUGAUCUGGUCAGGGAACAGUGUCAGGUGGGCAGUUUGACUGGGGCGGUCGCCUCCUAAAAGGUAACGGAGGCGCCCAAAGGUUCCCUCAGAAUGGUUGGAAAUCAUUCGCAGAGUGUAAAGGCACAAGGGAGCUUGACUGCGAGACCUACAAGUCGAGCAGGGACGAAAGUCGGGCUUAGUGAUCCGGCGGUACCGAAUGGAAGGGCCGUCGCUCAACGGAUAAAAGCUACCCCGGGGAUAACAGGCUGAUCUCCCCCAAGAGUCCACAUCGACGGGGAGGUUUGGCACCUCGAUGUCGGCUCAUCGCAUCCUGGGGCUGUAGUCGGUCCCAAGGGUUGGGCUGUUCGCCCAUUAAAGCGGUACGCGAGCUGGGUUCAGAACGUCGUGAGACAGUUCGGUCCCUAUCCGUCGCGGGCGCAGGAAAUUUGAGAGGAGCUGUCCUUAGUACGAGAGGACCGGGAUGGACGCACCGCUGGUGUACCAGUUGUUCUGCCAAGGGCAUCGCUGGGUAGCUAUGUGCGGACGGGAUAAGUGCUGAAAGCAUCUAAGCAUGAAGCCCCCCUCAAGAUGAGAUUUCCCAUUCGAAAGAAGUAAGAUCCCUUGAAGACGACAAGGUAGAUAGGUCAGAAGUGGAAGUGUGGUGACACAUGGAGCGGACUGAUACUAAUCGAUCGAGGACUUAACCAAUUU